CUCGUAGUUGGACCUGUGUUCCACGCUGUCGGUUCGCCGCCCGUCGGUGUUAACUGGCAUGUCCUGUGGAACGUCCUGCCGGUGGCGGUCCGGGCUUUCGGCUUGCGUAAAGGCUCACGCCCGAAGCAGGUCGAUCAGUUUCGGCCGCCGGUCCAAUCCCGCCACGGUGCUCUUCACCGAGUGUCGAGGUGGGCCGGCACGUUUACUUUGAACAAAUUAGAGUGCUUAAAGCAGGCUGGUGUCCGCCUGAAUACUGUGUGCAUGGAAUAAUGGAAUAGGACCUCGGUUCUAUUUUGUUGGUUUUAGGAACCCGAGGUAAUGAUUAAUAGGGACAGGCGGGGGCAUUCGUAUUGCGACGUUAGAGGUGAAAUUCUUGGAUCGUCGCAAGACGAACCUAAGCGAAAGCAUUUGCCAAGUAUGUUCUCGUUAAUCAAGAACGAAAGUUAGAGGUUCGAAGGCGAUCAGAUACCGCCCUAGUUCUAACCAUAAACGAUGCCAGCCAGCGAUCCGCCGAAGUUCCUCCGAUGACUCGGCGGGCAGCUUCCGGGAAACCAAAGCUUUUGGGUUCCGGGGGAAGUAUGGUUGCAAAGCUGAAACUUAAAGGAAUUGACGGAAGGGCACCACCAGGAGUGGAGCCUGCGGCUUAAUUUGACUCAACACGGGAAACCUCACCAGGCCCGGACACCGGAAGGAUUGACAGAUUGAGAGCUCUUUCUUGAUUCGGUGGGUGGUGGUGCAUGGCCGUUCUUAGUUGGUGGAGCGAUUUGUCUGGUUAAUUCCGAUAACGAACGAGACUCUAGCCUGCUAACUAGGCGUUUUCCGGUACCCACAAUAGUGUUACCGGCGAUUCAAUUUCUUCUUAGAGGGACAGGCGGCUCCUAGCCGCACGAGACUGAGCAAUAACAGGUCUGUGAUGCCCUUAGAUGUCCUGGGCCGCACGCGCGCUACACUGAAGGAAUCAGCGUGUCUUCCCUGGCCGACAGGCCCGGGUAACCCGUUGAACCUCCUUCGUGCUAGGGAUUGGGGCUUGCAAUUGUUCCCCAUGAACGAGGAAUUCCCAGUAAGCGCGAGUCAUAAGCUCGCGUUGAUUACGUCCCUGCCCUUUGUACACACCGCCCGUCGCUACUACCGAUUGAAUGAUUUAGUGAGGUCUUCGGACUGGUGCGCGGCGAUCGGUUAACGCCGGCCGCCGAUGUUGCUGGAAAGAUGACCAAACUUGAUCAUUUAGAGGAAGUAAAAGUCGUAACAAGGUUU
Molecule: ribosomal RNA, 1254 nt
Filed under: Pisidice mirifica
Lineage: Eukaryota; Metazoa; Arthropoda; Insecta; Hemiptera; Cercopidae
Description: SSU rRNA
Rfam family: Eukaryotic small subunit ribosomal RNA
Source: RNAcentral